Molecule: ribosomal RNA, 467 nt
Filed under: uncultured bacterium
Lineage: Bacteria
Description: partial 16S ribosomal RNA
Rfam family: Bacterial small subunit ribosomal RNA
Source: RNAcentral
GACGAACGCUGGCGGCGUGCUUAACACAUGCAAGUCGAACGGAAAGGCCCUGCUUUUGUGGGGUGCUCGAGUGGCGAACGGGUGAGUAACACGUGAGUAACCUGCCCUUGACUUUGGGAUAACUUCAGGAAACUGGGGCUAAUACCGGAUAGGAGCUCCUGCUGCAUGGUGGGGGUUGGAAAGUUUCGGCGGUUGGGGAUGGACUCGCGGCUUAUCAGCUUGUUGGUGGGGUAGUGGCUUACCAAGGCUUUGACGGGUAGCCGGCCUGAGAGGGUGACCGGCCACAUGGGAAGUGGGAUACGGCCCAGACUCCUACGGGAGGCAGCAGUGGGAAUAUUGCACAAUGGGCGGAAGCCUGAUGCAGCAACGCCGCGUGCGGGAUGACGGCCUUCGGGUUGUAAACCGCUUUCGCCUGUGACGAAGCGUGAGUGACGGUAAUGGGUAAAGAAGCACCGGCUAACUACGUG